RNAcentral lists this long non-coding RNA (1130 nucleotides) under Serinus canaria (Common canary). RNAcentral describes it as "lncRNA (ENSSCAG00000001968.1)". The record is from RNAcentral. Lineage: Eukaryota; Metazoa; Chordata; Aves; Passeriformes; Fringillidae.
CCUCCUCUCACCCACCAAAUUUCUAACACAUCUGCCUCUCAGAUCAUCUGCUCUCAGUCCAUCACCACUCUUCAGAUAAUCAAUUCUCAGUUCAUCAAGGAGAGAGGAUUCCCUCUUGCAUCAUAGGCUUCCCCAGGAAACACUGUUGAAACCUCUUGUGUUUCCAUGUCACACGUGGCAUCUCCUGGAGAUCAUUUUGCCAUCGUGACAUCUUCCUUCCAUGUCCAGUGCUCUCACCACUGCACAUGGACCAGAGCUGCUUCUAGGGUUUUCUUUUUUAAAGGGUGCUUUGCCCAGUUCCAAAAAGAGCACAGUUUCUCACUUUUGGGAUACCUGUCCCCCCCAGAUUUCACCCCCUGAGGCCGAGGGGUCUCAAGAACAGAGAUCUUCCUCUUCUUCUUCUUCUUCCCUGGAGACGGAGGGCACCACCACCACCCUCCUCACCCAUCAUCUCUGUUCACGCACUCCUUCACAACACAUCACUGCACUCUCUUGGCUCCAAGCCAUUGCCUCCCCCUAAAUGCAGUCUCUGUGUCACAGGAAAAAUGCUUCUGUCCAUGGCCAUACAAGAAAAGUCCAGCCAAAGGCCGCUCCAUCAUCUCUUCCCAACUAGAUUCUUCUCAACUUCUCUCAUGGCCCAUUUCUUCUUAUCUCAUCUCCAUCUCUCUUCUCAUUCAACUCCAGGAGGAAUCAGCAUUUGUAAGGUUUCUAUUAUCUAAGAAAAGGGUUAACAAAUCUCAGGCUCUGCCUGUCUUUGAACUCCCAUGGCUGCCCUGCUGGGCACCUUCUCGCUGCACCCCCCUACCUCUCCUUCAGGCUGGCCAUGCUAUCAAAUUUCAAGGUGGCACAGGCACAGACACCAGUGCUGUCUCUCUCUCUCUCUCCAGGGGGGUGGGCUGCCUGAAGCCUCUCAGUGCUCUUCCAGUCUUCUAUUUUGCAGGGACCUUCGCCUCCCUUCUCUGCCCAAGGCCCGGCCUGGCGGCCUACCUCCUCUGGCCGCAUGGCUUCCCCUCACCUGCCCAGCUCGGAGCCGGGCAGGGCAGGUGUGUUCUCUUCCACAAACCAGCCAGGGCAGGUCUGUUCUCUUUCACAAACCGGGCAGGGCAGGUCUGUUCUCUUUCACAAACCCG